GAUGAACGCUGGCGGCGUGCCUAAUACAUGCAAGUCGAGCGAACAGACGAGGAGCUUGCUCCUCUGACGUUAGCGGCGGACGGGUGAGUAACACGUGGAUAACCUACCUAUAAGACUGGGAUAACUUCGGGAAACCGGAGCUAAUACCGGAUAAUAUAUUGAACCGCAUGGUUCAAUAGUGAAAGACGGUUUUGCUGUCACUUAUAGAUGGAUCCGCGCCGCAUUAGCUAGUUGGUAAGGUAACGGCUUACCAAGGCAACGAUGCGUAGCCGACCUGAGAGGGUGAUCGGCAACACUGGAACUGAAACACGGUCCAGACUCCUACGGGCGGCAGCAGUAGGGAAUCUUCCGCAAUGGGCGAAAGCCUGAAGGAGCAACGCCGCGUGAGUGAUGAAGGUCUUCGGAUCGUAAAACUCUGUUAUUAGGAAAGAACAAAUGUGUAAGUAACUAUGCGCGUCUUGACGGUACCUAAUCAGAAAGCCACGGCUAACUACGUG
Molecule: ribosomal RNA, 497 nt
Filed under: uncultured bacterium
Lineage: Bacteria
Description: partial 16S ribosomal RNA
Rfam family: Bacterial small subunit ribosomal RNA
Source: RNAcentral